RNAcentral lists this ribosomal RNA (508 nucleotides) under uncultured Desulfobulbus sp. RNAcentral describes it as "bacterial SSU rRNA". It matches the Rfam family "Bacterial small subunit ribosomal RNA", at positions 904 to 1382 of the family's 1533-position model. Lineage: Bacteria; Pseudomonadati; Thermodesulfobacteriota; Desulfobulbia; Desulfobulbales; Desulfobulbaceae. The record is from RNAcentral.
CGCCUUGCCAGCCCGCUCAGAACUUAAGGAAUUGACGGGGCCCGCACAAGCGGUGGAGUAUGUGGUUUAAUUCGAUGCAACGCGAAGAACCUUACCUGGUCUUGACAUCCCGGAGACCCUUAGGAAACUAGGGGGUGCUUCCAUCUGGAAGAAUCUGGAGACAGGUGCUGCAUGGCUGUCGUCAGCUCGUGUCGUGAGAUGUUGGGUUAAGUCCCGCAACGAGCGCAACCCUUGCCUUUAGUUGCCAGCAGUUCGGCUGGGCACUCUAAAGGGACUGCCGGUGUUAAACCGGAGGAAGGUGGGGAUGACGUCAAGUCCUCAUGGCCUUUAUGACCAGGGCUACACACGUACUACAAUGGCCGAUACAAAGGGCAGCGACACUGCGAGGUGAAGCCAAUCCCGUAAAAUCGGUCUCAGUCCGGAUUGGAGUCUGCAACUCGACUCCAUGAAGUUGGAAUCGCUAGUAAUCGUGGAUCAGCAUGCCACGGUGAAUACGUUCCCGGGCCUU